CGUUCUGGGUUGAUCAUCAAAGCCCAGCAAGUUCCUGUUGAACCUGAGACCAGCCGCAGGGCUGUUCUUGGCUUGGUCGCCGCCGGUCUUGCUUCCGGCUCUUUCGUUCAAGCCGUUCUCGCUGAAGCUAAGCCCAUCAAAGUCGGUCCUCCCCCACCUCCCUCUGGUGGACUCCGUAAGUAAUUCCAACACUAAAUUUACCAUAAUCCAUCAGCUUAAAUAUUUAGGCGUCACCAAAAAAGGGAUCUUAUUGUUGCAGCUGGGACUCUGAACUCGGACGAGCCAAGGGACUUGGACCUUCCAUUGAAAGAUAGGUUCUUCCUGCAACCACAAAGUCCAGCAAUGGCUGUGGCAAGAGCAAAAGAAUCAGCCAAAGACAUUAUCAAUGUAAAAGGGCAGAUAGAGAAGAAGGCUUGGCCAUUUGUUCGUGAUGACCUUCGUCUUAAAGCAGAGUACCUUCGUUAUGAUCUCAAGACAAUCAUUUCUGCUAAGCCUAAGGAAGAGAAGCAGGCCCUUAAGGACCUCACCGGAAAACUCUUCCAAGACAUCAAC
RNAcentral lists this long non-coding RNA (552 nucleotides) under Cucumis sativus (cucumber). Its description in RNAcentral is "long non-coding RNA (CSAT_LNC000099)". The record is from RNAcentral. Lineage: Eukaryota; Viridiplantae; Streptophyta; Magnoliopsida; Cucurbitales; Cucurbitaceae.